RNAcentral lists this ribosomal RNA (483 nucleotides) under uncultured bacterium. RNAcentral describes it as "partial 16S ribosomal RNA". It matches the Rfam family "Bacterial small subunit ribosomal RNA", at positions 30 to 507 of the family's 1533-position model. The record is from RNAcentral.
AUUGAACGCUGGCGGCAGGCCUAACACAUGCAAGUCGAGCGGAUGAAGGGAGCUUGCUCCUGGAUUCAGCGGCGGACGGGUGAGUAAUGCCUAGGAAUCUGCCUGGUAGUGGGGGAUAACGUCCGGAAACGGGCGCUAAUACCGCAUACGUCCUGAGGGAGCAAGUGGGGGAUCUUCGGACCUCACGCUAUCAGAUGAGCCUAGGUCGGAUUAGCUAGUUGGUGGGGUAAAGGCCUACCAAGGCGACGAUCCGUAACUGGUCUGAGAGGAUGAUCAGUCACACAGAACCAGAAACACGUUCCAGACUCUUAGGGAGGCCGGCGGUGGGAAUUUUUGGACAGUGGAGGAAAACUUGACCAAGCCAUGCCGGGUGUUUAAAGAAGGCCUCGGAAUUGAAAGCACCUUAAGUUUGGGGGAAAGGACGGUAAUUAAUACCCUGCUUGUUUUACGGUUCCCAAAGAAAAAAGCCCGGCUUACUUCGUG